GUGCCUAACACAUGCAAGUCGAACGAGAAAGUGGAGCAAUCCAUGAGUAAAGUGGCGACCGGGUGAGUAACACGUGACUAACCUACCUCCGAAUGGGGAAUAACUCCGGGAAACCGGGGCUAAUACCGCAUAACACCGCAAGGUCAAAGCAGCAAUGCGUUUGGAGAGGGGGUCGCGGCUGAUUAGCUAGUUGGCGGGGUAACGGCCCACCAAGGCGAAGAUCGGUAUCCGGCCUGAGAGGGCGCACGGACACACUGGAACUGAAACACGGUCCAG
Molecule: ribosomal RNA, 276 nt
Filed under: uncultured bacterium
Lineage: Bacteria
Description: partial 16S ribosomal RNA
Rfam family: Bacterial small subunit ribosomal RNA
Source: RNAcentral